ACAACAGGUGGAGCCUGCGGUUUAAUCGGACUCAACGCCGGGAAACUCACCAGAUAAGACAGCUGAAUGAUAGUCGGGCUGAAGACUCUACUUUGACUAGCUGAGAGGAGGUGCAUGGCCGUCGUCAGUUCGUACUGUGAAGCAUCCUGUUAAGUCAGGCAACGAGCGAGACCCACGCCCACAGUUGCCAGCGUACUCUCUGGAGUGACGGGUACACUGUGGGACCGCCGCUGCUAAAGCGGAGGAAGGAAUGGGCAACGGUAGGUCAGUAUGCCCCGAAUAUCCCGGGCUACACGCGAGCUACAAUGGUUGGUACAAUGGGUAUCUACCCCGAAAGGGGACGGGAAUCUCCUAAAACCAAUCUUAGUUCGGAUUGAGGGCUGCAACUCGCCCUCAUGAAGCUGGAAUCCGUAGUAAUCGCGUUUCAACAGAACGCGGUGAAUACGUCCCUGCUCCUU
Molecule: ribosomal RNA, 458 nt
Filed under: uncultured Methanolinea sp.
Lineage: Archaea; Methanobacteriati; Methanobacteriota; Methanomicrobia; Methanomicrobiales; Methanoregulaceae
Description: bacterial SSU rRNA
Rfam family: Archaeal small subunit ribosomal RNA
Source: RNAcentral